UAAACGACUUUCGGCAACGGAUAUCUCGGCUCACGCAUCGAUGAAGAACGUAGCAAAAUGCGAUACUUGGUGUGAAUUGCAGAAUCCCGUGACCCAUCGAGUUUUUGAACGCAAGUUGCGCCCGAAGCCAUUCGGCCGAGGGCACGUCUGCCUGGGCGUCACGC
RNAcentral lists this ribosomal RNA (164 nucleotides) under Centaurea argecillensis. RNAcentral describes it as "5.8S ribosomal RNA". It matches the Rfam family "5.8S ribosomal RNA". From Rfam's summary of the family: 5.8S ribosomal RNA (5.8S rRNA) is a component of the large subunit of the eukaryotic ribosome. Lineage: Eukaryota; Viridiplantae; Streptophyta; Magnoliopsida; Asterales; Asteraceae. The record is from RNAcentral.